GGGACAUCCCUGGGGACUGAAAUUGUUUGUUUAUGCAUGGGACAUGUACAACAUGGACGGCAGCAGUGCAGACUUCCCCAUGCUGCCUUACCACUGUUCCUUAGCCUUGACCUAGACUCGAGUGAUGACAUCUUGAGGUAAAAAAGUUGUUCAGUUUUACCCACCUAACACUCUUCUUUCAACUGUC
Molecule: small RNA, 187 nt
Filed under: Gopherus agassizii (Agassiz's desert tortoise)
Lineage: Eukaryota; Metazoa; Chordata; Testudines; Testudinidae
Description: TUC338 (ENSGAGG00000019893.1)
Source: RNAcentral